RNAcentral lists this ribosomal RNA (1017 nucleotides) under uncultured bacterium. Its description in RNAcentral is "bacterial SSU rRNA". It matches the Rfam family "Bacterial small subunit ribosomal RNA", at positions 355 to 1375 of the family's 1533-position model. The record is from RNAcentral.
UGAGGAAUAUUGGUCAAUGGACGCGAGUCUGAACCAGCCAAGUAGCGUGAAGGAUGAAGGUCCUACGGAUUGUAAACUUCUUUUAUAAGGGAAUAAAGUCACCCACGUGUGGGUGUUUGUAUGUACCUUAUGAAUAAGCAUCGGCUAACUCCGUGCCAGCAGCCGCGGUAAUACGGAGGAUGCGAGCGUUAUCCGGAUUUAUUGGGUUUAAAGGGAGCGUAGACGGGCCGUUAAGUCAGCUGUGAAAGUUUGAGGCUCAACCUUAAAAUUGCAGUUGAUACUGGCGUCCUUGAGUACGGUUGAGGCAGGCGGAAUUCGUGGUGUAGCGGUGAAAUGCUUAGAUAUCACGAAGAACCCCGAUUGCGAAGGCAGCCUGCUAAACCGCCACUGACGUUGAGGCUCGAAAGUGUGGGUAUCAAACAGGAUUAGAUACCCUGGUAGUCCACACGGUAAACGAUGGAUACUCGCUGUUGGCGAUAGACUGUCAGCGGCUUAGCGAAAGCGUUAAGUAUCCCACCUGGGGAGUACGCCGGCAACGGUGAAACUCAAAGGAAUUGACGGGGGCCCGCACAAGCGGAGGAACAUGUGGUUUAAUUCGAUGAUACGCGAGGAACCUUACCCGGGCUUGAAUUGCAGACGAAUUGCUUGGAAACAGGCAAGCCGCAAGGCGUCUGUGAAGGUGCUGCAUGGUUGUCGUCAGCUCGUGCCGUGAGGUGUCGGCUUAAGUGCCAUAACGAGCGCAACCCUCGUGUUCAGUUACUAGCAGGUUAUGCUGAGGACUCUGGACAGACUGCCAUCGUAAGAUGUGAGGAAGGUGGGGAUGACGUCAAAUCAGCACGGCCCUUACGUCCGGGGCUACACACGUGUUACAAUGGGGGGUACAGCAGGCAGCUACCGGGCGACCGGAUGCCAAUCCCGAAAGCCUCUCUCAGUUCGGACUGGAGUCUGCAACCCGACUCCACGAAGCUGGAUUCGCUAGUAAUCGCGCAUCAGCCACGGCGCGGUGAAUACGUUCCC